CCCUUAGAUGUCCUGGGCCGCACGCGCGCUACACUGAUGCAUUCAACGAGUUUUACCUUGGCCGAGAGGCCUGGGCAAUCUUUUAAACCUGCAUCGUGAUAGGGAUAGAUUAUUGCAAUUAUUAAUCUUGAACGAGGAAUUCCUAGUAAACGCAAAUCAUCAAUUUGCAUUGAUUACGUCCCUGCCCUUUGUACACACCGCCCGUCGCACCUACCGAUUGAAUGGUCCGGUGAAGCCUCGGGAUUGUGGCCAGUUCACUUUAUUGGGAGUUGGCUGUGAGAACUUGUCCAAACCUUAUCAUUUAGAGGAAGGUGAAGUCGUAACA
RNAcentral lists this ribosomal RNA (325 nucleotides) under uncultured eukaryote. RNAcentral's name for it is "partial 18S ribosomal RNA". It matches the Rfam family "Eukaryotic small subunit ribosomal RNA", at positions 1470 to 1796 of the family's 1831-position model. The record is from RNAcentral.